UAUGGGAGGCCGAGGAGGAAGGAUCGUUUGAGUCCAGCCCUAGGAGGUGGUGCCCUUAUUAGCUGCAUAGGUCGUUUGGGGAAACUGACGCUCAGAGAGAUGAAGGGACUUGCACGAGGUGACACACAUCUACAGUGGUGGUAAAGCUUCAAGUAACCAAAUUAGGAUAUCUCCAGCUCAAGAGCCAUUGUACUGAACUACUCAGCUAGCAUUUGUCCAAAGUUGAAAAUAUAAAUUCCAGAAUGGACCCAUUGAAUCCAAA
This is a long non-coding RNA of Cebus imitator (Panamanian white-faced capuchin), 262 nucleotides long. RefSeq lists it as uncharacterized. The record is from RefSeq and is a predicted model, not a curated record. The transcript is spliced from 2 exons. Lineage: Eukaryota; Metazoa; Chordata; Mammalia; Primates; Cebidae.